GUGCACCCCAAAGGAGUGUGCCUUAGAACACAGGUGUAUUUUGGUCUACUCCUGUUUUGGACCCAAAAUAUGCUUGUGUUCUCAGGUCACCCCUUUGGGAUCACC
RNAcentral lists this microRNA precursor (105 nucleotides) under Solanum tuberosum (potato). RNAcentral describes it as "MIR398 microRNA precursor family". It matches the Rfam family "MIR398 microRNA precursor family". The record is from Rfam by way of RNAcentral. Lineage: Eukaryota; Viridiplantae; Streptophyta; Magnoliopsida; Solanales; Solanaceae.